Molecule: ribosomal RNA, 582 nt
Filed under: uncultured bacterium
Lineage: Bacteria
Description: bacterial SSU rRNA
Rfam family: Bacterial small subunit ribosomal RNA
Source: RNAcentral
ACGGGUGAGUAACACGUGGGCAACCUGCCCUUGAGACUGGGAUAACUUCGGGAAACCGGAGCUAAUACCGGAUAAUAUAAGGAACCUCCUGGUUCCUUGUUGAAAGAUGGUUUCGGCUAUCACUUAAGGAUGGGCCCGCGGCGCAUUAGCUAGUUGGUGAGGUAACGGCUCACCAAGGCGACGAUGCGUAGCCGACCUGAGAGGGUGAUCGGCCACACUGGGACUGAGACACGGCCCAGACUCCUACGGGAGGCAGCAGUAGGGAAUCUUCCACAAUGGACGAAAGUCUGAUGGAGCAACGCCGCGUGAGUGAUGAAGGCCUUCGGGUCGUAAAGCUCUGUUGUUAGGGAAGAACAAGUGCGGGAGUAACUGCUCGCACCUUGACGGUACCUAACCAGAAAGCCACGGCUAACUACGUGCCAGCAGCCGCGGUAAUACGUAGGUGGCAAGCGUUAUCCGGAAUUAUUGGGCGUAAAGCGCGCGCAGGUGGUUUCUUAAGUCUGAUGUGAAAGCCCACGGCUCAACCGUGGAGGGUCAUUGGAAACUGGGGAACUUGAGUGCAGAAGAGGAAAGUGGAAUUCC